RNAcentral lists this ribosomal RNA (691 nucleotides) under Arthrobacter humicola. RNAcentral's name for it is "bacterial SSU rRNA". It matches the Rfam family "Bacterial small subunit ribosomal RNA", at positions 53 to 755 of the family's 1533-position model. The record is from RNAcentral. Lineage: Bacteria; Bacillati; Actinomycetota; Actinomycetes; Micrococcales; Micrococcaceae.
ACCAUGCAAGUCGAACGAUGAUCCGGUGCUUGCACCGGGGAUUAGUGGCGAACGGGUGAGUAACACGUGAGUAACCUGCCCUUAACUCUGGGAUAAGCCUGGGAAACUGGGUCUAAUACCGGAUAUGACUGAUCAUCGCAUGGUGGUUGGUGGAAAGCUUUUUGUGGUUUUGGAUGGACUCGCGGCCUAUCAGCUUGUUGGUGAGGUAAUGGCUUACCAAGGCGACGACGGGUAGCCGGCCUGAGAGGGUGACCGGCCACACUGGGACUGAGACACGGCCCAGACUCCUACGGGAGGCAGCAGUGGGGAAUAUUGCACAAUGGGCGCAAGCCUGAUGCAGCGACGCCGCGUGAGGGAUGACGGCCUUCGGGUUGUAAACCUCUUUCAGUAGGGAAGAAGCGAAAGUGACGGUACCUGCAGAAGAAGCGCCGGCUAACUACGUGCCAGCAGCCGCGGUAAUACGUAGGGCGCAAGCGUUAUCCGGAAUUAUUGGGCGUAAAGAGCUCGUAGGCGGUUUGUCGCGUCUGCCGUGAAAGUCCGGGGCUCAACUCCGGAUCUGCGGUGGGUACGGGCAGACUAGAGUGAUGUAGGGGAGACUGGAAUUCCUGGUGUAGCGGUGAAAUGCGCAGAUAUCAGGAGGAACACCGAUGGCGAAGGCAGGUCUCUGGGCAUUAACUGACGCUGAGGAGCG